Molecule: transfer RNA, 86 nt
Filed under: Oscillospiraceae bacterium
Lineage: Bacteria; Bacillati; Bacillota; Clostridia; Eubacteriales; Oscillospiraceae
Also listed under: 1 other name
Description: tRNA-Leu
Rfam family: tRNA
About the family: Transfer RNA (tRNA) molecules are approximately 80 nucleotides in length. Their secondary structure includes four short double-helical elements and three loops (D, anti-codon, and T loops).
Source: RNAcentral
GCCGGUGUGGCGGAACGGCAGACGCACGGGACUUAAAAUCCCGAGAUGGCAACAUCGUGUGGGUUCGAAACCCACCACCGGCACCA